CAACCAACGCUCGACGGCGUUCUUAAUUGAAUUGCGCAGUCGGCCUGAGUGAGUUUCGCAAUUGCAAGAUUGCGUAACUUUAAGCUCGGACAGAAGUUCCCGAUGUCUAACACAUAGCUCGAAUCUGUCGACUAAGGGCAAUGCGGUUAAUUUGCCUUCGGGUAAAUAUCAGCAUUUGUUCGAAGUAGACAUUCAAGGUUUGUUCGAAGUCUAGAUCAACGAGUGAACUAUUCCAGAGCCAAUCUGGAAACUUAACUUUUGAUUAAGAUAUCAAAUGAAUCGAGAAAACACGCCGAACUUAAGCAUAUCAAUAAGCGGAGGA
RNAcentral lists this unclassified non-coding RNA (322 nucleotides) under uncultured Ascomycota. RNAcentral's name for it is "sequence contains ITS2". The record is from RNAcentral. Lineage: Eukaryota; Fungi; Ascomycota.